UAUUAGCUGUAUACCCCACUUCGAUUUACAUGUAUCGAUCAUAUGAAACGUCUGUAUACGUAUCGAGUUUUUGUGUAGAUGUCAUACGUGUAGCAUUGUUUUUUUAUGUAUAGUAAUAACCGCGUGUAAUCUUUAGCUGACGGUUUUCGGUAGUUUUUUUUACCACAUUUAUUUUACCGUGAGCUUGAACUAAAUACUGUAUGUCAGAUUCUUCGCUAAUGCAGAAGUUUCGGGAUGACAACCCUGAAUCAUUGCAACAAGCCCAUACUUAAAUUGUGGCACAAAAUUUGUACAACUAGGAUUUUCCCUGGAAACCAAUCCAGUAUGAAACACUUGAAAGUGUAGGACAUUAUGAUUACAAAUAAUUGAAAUAAAGACUUUUUCAUGUUCAUUUGUCUAAAGCAGUAAUAACUGUGGAACUGUUCACAAGUGACAUCUAUUCUUCUCAUUGACUAGAUGAGAAAAAUAUAUAUUAAAUUACGCUAAGAAGAGAUUUCUCAAUUGGCUGAGAAAGCAUGAGGAACUUUAUUAUAGAAGUGUCAAUAUCAAUUGACGCACAAGCUUGUUGAUUGUCCCAAAACAUGUCAAAUAAUUUCACCUGUGAUUGUGUGCAUGUACAAGUUCCUAUAAUAUUGACAGCUGUAAAACAUGCUUCAAAAUAUGUUUUCCAUAGGUCACAAAAGGGGAAUUUGUUCAUAAGGCAUCAUCCUUCUUGUAUCCACAAACCUUCAGCCUUUCGGUCGUAGAUGCAACACUAAUUUUGACAACACGAUGGUUAAACAAUUACUUGUCAGGGAUAGAUUUUAACCAACGUCAUGUACUUAAAAUUAGUAACUAUACACAAAAUUUUUUUAAACUCAUGUAUGGAUAGAAAACAUGAAGAAACACAAUAGAACGUAAAUGACCAUGUAAAUAA
Molecule: long non-coding RNA, 916 nt
Organism: Daphnia carinata
Lineage: Eukaryota; Metazoa; Arthropoda; Branchiopoda; Diplostraca; Daphniidae
Exons: 2
Source: RefSeq, a predicted model, not a curated record